CUAUUUCACUUCAGUUUCCAACUUAACCCAUGGCUUAUGCGAGCUGGUCAUGUCAUGGUCAGAGCCUAUUAGAAUCUGGAUCGUCAGGUGGUCAGCAGGAAAUAGAGUUCAAAUAAUUUCCAUAGAAAGGCUUCGGUGAAGGCACUGUUCAAGAGGUGUGGGCACAACCAAAGGAUAAAGGGAUGUUUACGCUCCCAGGGUCCAGCAAGGUAGGAAGUGUUCUCUCUCUUGGGGAGGGAUCCCAUGAGAGCUGGCGUCUCAGAAAGCAGCCUGGCAGGAGCUAUCAUUCCAGAGCAGUGUUCUUCCCUAUUUGUCUUUAGUUAUUAUCCCCGUUCUCAAGAAAUACUAAAUCUAAUCUAAAUUCAACCUAAUGAGCUAAAUUAACAACUAAGGAAUAAGAUUUUAUCAGCAAGCAGAGGACCCUGCCAGACAGUCCAAGGGCUCAGCCCCAGAGCGCAGAACAAGGCAGAGAACGGCAGAGCUGGAAGAUCUGGAGAACAAAAAACGUAAGCAGCAGAGAAUUUGUCCAAAUCUGUUAAAACUCACACGGGGCAAAAUCUCCUUGGGGGAAUCCUUGCAUGUCUUGGGGAAGAGUAUGAAUUUUGUGUCAGGAAGACCCUGAUUUAAAUCGCAGCUUUGUCCCCUUCUCACGGCAUGAGCUUAAGGACCCUCUUUAAACUCUCUGAGCCUCAGAGAGUAAAACGGGGCUAUUAAUUUCUAUUGCUGGUAGUUGCUUUGAGGAUAAACUAAAUAACAUAUGCAGGGCACUUAAUAAUGUAACAAGCUGGAUAAAUAAUCACUAAAUGUGACUGUGAGAGCGUUUAUCAUCUGCCCUUCUUUCCUUUCACUCCUAAGUCCCAGGCACUUACCCAAGGGUGCAUAGUGUCCAGUGCUGGGCUUACAGAGUAAACAAGACAGACUGCCCCACCAGUGGAAAGUCAGAGGGAACACUCUUCCACGUGUCACUCAAAAUGCGCAAACACAAUCAGGCUGUUUGAAGGAAACUGCUAUACAACAGAAUGGACCUGGAUACAACAGAUGACAACUGGAAGCAUAUCUGGUAGCAGACUUCUGUGUGACAUCUUCUGAAUAAGUUAGUCCCAUGUCGAAGAAGUCAUCCAUUAAAUCCUCUAGCCAACUGCUUUGCUCAUACUUUCAUUCCAGAGGGAGAUCAUUAAGUGAUACCAUAAUCCUGCAAGGCUGGUGAGUCAGAAAACGUCAUUCUAGUUAGUUUUCUAAGCCUUGUACCCUCGCCUGUACAAGACAGAGGAUGAGAGUAUUUACCUCAGAGGGUUGUUGCUGCUUGAAUGAAAAAAUGCGUGUAAAACACUUAGUACCAAGUCUAGCUCAGAGAAAGUGCUUCAUAAAAUCUAACUAUUUAGACGUAUUUCUCUUUAGGUACUGAAAUCUUUGUCACCUUGUGCACCUACUUAAGCUUGCCUUAGUUUUUCAUGUUUAACAUAGCAAUGAUUUUAAAUAUCUAUCCCAUCUUGAUAAAAUUUUCAUAGCUAAUGAGAUUAUAUACAAAAUUAUCUA
This 1536-nucleotide long non-coding RNA is filed under the name Equus caballus (horse). RNAcentral's name for it is "lncRNA (ENSECAG00000054889.1)". Lineage: Eukaryota; Metazoa; Chordata; Mammalia; Perissodactyla; Equidae. The record is from RNAcentral.